RNAcentral lists this long non-coding RNA (2128 nucleotides) under Ricinus communis (castor bean). Its description in RNAcentral is "long non-coding RNA (RCOM_LNC000831)". The record is from RNAcentral. Lineage: Eukaryota; Viridiplantae; Streptophyta; Magnoliopsida; Malpighiales; Euphorbiaceae.
GAUAUUUCCUUAUAGCUUCAUUGUUCUCCAACUCAGGCCUUCGACACAACUUCUUCAUGUCUUCUCUUGCCUUCUCAUUAUCUUUAGUUUUUCUCUCAAUAUUCAGAACAAUGUUAAAAACAUUUUAAAACGCAUUCUUCUCAAUUUGCAUCACAUCUAGGUUAUAUCUAAUGAGAUUGGAACUCUAGUAUGGCAAAUCUCAAAAGAUACUUCUUUUCUUCUAACUGCACUCCUUGCAAAUAGGACCAUUAAUCUCUUUAGCAUCAAGUUUAUUUACUCUCCUAAGUCCUAAAUCAUCUAUCUCUUGCAAGAUUUGAUCAUUUGUCCUUAUAGAUAGUGCCGGUGAUAUCUCCUUUCUAUUUAUUAGGAACCAAUUUUUAUUCCAUCUGAAAGGAAGAUCAAGGGGAAGAAACUUAUGAUGAUUGUCAAACCAAGAUGUCUUUCAACCAUUUUUUCAAACUGAAUGCUUGCGAAUGUUCUAUACAGUAAGGACAAGCAAGUUCCCAACCGUGCUGCAGCCUGACAACAUUGUUUAUGCAGGAAAAUCAUUGAUGGUCCACAUAAGAGCUGCUCUCAUUUGAAAAUUCUGCUAUCUAGACACAUCGCAUGUUUGGACACUCACAUCCCAAAGAUACUUCAAUUUAUCAAUCAAAUAUGGAAGAAAACAUUUAUCUGGUUUUUAGGAUUAGUUGGCCCAUGAAUAAUUAGAGAUAAGAACAUGUACGCCUCCUUCAUACAUACCACGAAGGUAAAUUCAUGGCUAAUCUUACCAUCAGCAUUAAGCCUAGUGUGCAUCUAUUACUGAUCAAAAUUCAUGUUAUUUUCCUGUGUAAAUUACAUUACAUCUCACAUUAAAUUUUAUAUGUAUUCAUUGCAACCUUUAAUUUUUUUUCUAAAAAUCUACCGAAAUUUCGGCAGAAUUUCUCCUAUAAAAGUAAGAUACACUCGUAAAACGAGUCCAUUUCCUACUUUAAAAAUAAUUGGGCAUAACCAACAGAAUUACAACAAUAAUUAUUUACUAACAUCAUAAAUAUUUAAAAUAACAUAUACUUACAAAACUAGACGAUUAAAAACACAUAAAUCCAACACAAGAAUACAAAAUCUAUUAUAAACAUACAUAUAUAUAUAUAUUCGAUUUAAUUAAAAUCACACUAUACUCAAAUUAGUUUUAUUUUUUCAAUUUGGGUGAGAUACUUUCAACAUUAGCUGGUAUAUUUUAGGCAGAAAUCAAGGGCUUAUUUAUACUUUUUAGAUAUUUAAAAUUAUUAUGAGAUUCUUAAAAGGCAAAAUCUGCAAAAUGACUAUAAUAUUGGUCUUGAUAGUAAGAUUGGAUCUUUAUGUUUCUUUAGGAAUAUUUAUAAUGACCUUAAACUAUUUUAGAAAGAUAGCUCUUAAACUCUCUCAUUUAUAUUUGACUAUUAAGUCAAAUAAUUGAAAGCAUAAGGCGAUAAGUACUUGUUAAGAGUUUCUUUUAAAAGGACACAAAUAAGAAAACUUAUAUUUGUUCUUUGAAGUGUAGAAAAAAAAAGAGAAAACAACAAGGCAGUGGUUAAGGGUAGACAACAAGCAUCAGAACCUAGAAAAAUAAAGAACAUAUACUUAAAAAAUUGAAAGGCAAUAAAUAAAAUUAUUUGUUUACACCAAUUACUAAAUAACAUUUUUAUGCAUUUAGUGUACAAAAUUAAAAAUUCAAAAAAAAUGAAAAAAAAACAUUAACCUGCUGUUGAUAGGGUUGGUAUUUGGUAAACCUAUCAUUAACAAUAUAAACAUGCUUACCAACAUAAGUAAUUAAGUUUCACCGAUCAUCCAAUACAAUCUAUGAGUCAAAGAGGAUCAACCAAAAAACAUAUCUCAACAGAUUAACAAAAAAAAAAAAGAAGAAAUUAAGCUAAAAUGAAGAAACUUGAUUAUAAUAAUAUCUACCAAUAAUCAAUAAGGUUGCAAAUUACUUGCCCAUAUCAUCAGUUUCUAAAGACUCAUUAACACAAUGAUUAAAAAAGAAAGAAAGAAAAGUAGCCCAAUGUAUAUUUCUUGCCUCCCUACUGAUAAUGAUAAUAAUAAUAACAACAACAACAAUAAUAAUAAUAAUAAUAAUAAUAAUAAUAACAUUUAAGAAAUUUAUUGCUCG